GAAUAGGGUCUGGUGGAGAGAGGAGAGCUGGAGAGGCGAGUCAGUGUGUGCGGGGCAGCGGCGGUGUGAAGCGUAUUGUCGUAGAUGAAGGAGUGAGCCGCACGCAGACUUAACACGAUGAUCGCAGAGACUUGGAAAAGGAAAAGUUAAGACAAAAAACUGAUUAACCCCGCUGGAAAAAAAUUAGCGAGUGAAGAAAACAUCAACAGUGAAGUGGCAAACAAGUGAUCAGUGAAACCUCUUAAGAAGUAGACGAAAAGUAGAAACCUUAACCACUGAAAACAAGGACGAAAACAAGAUUGAAAAGGAGAAAAAAAAACACUGAAAUACACCAAGAAAAACAAAAAAGAAAAACAUGUAGGGAAAGAUCUGAAACGGUCUAGUGAUUUGCGUUGGAAAUAAAA
This is a long non-coding RNA of Eriocheir sinensis (Chinese mitten crab), 404 nucleotides long. RefSeq lists it as uncharacterized. The record is from RefSeq and is a predicted model, not a curated record. Lineage: Eukaryota; Metazoa; Arthropoda; Malacostraca; Decapoda; Varunidae. The transcript is spliced from 2 exons.